UAUAUUAAAGCCAUGUAGGGGGUGGGGCGUCUAUGGUGUCUGGGAGCUUUGGAUCCCCUGCAGUUUUUACAGAGCACUGAUAUCUAUGGACUCUAACAUGGACUUCAUUUAAAGAAACCCACGGACCAUUAAUGGACAAAAACAUGAAUCAAUUUGUAUUGUGGCAUUCAAAUCCUAGCACUUUGGGAGAGGCUGGUCUUGAAGACCUGGGCAUAAGCAAUUCUCCUGUCUUAGCCUACUGAGGAGAUGGGAUUACAGCAUCAAGUACCAAGUUUUUGAAGACCAUGACCCACCAUACCAUCAUUAUGCAUUCAAGAGUUGAGUAUGAAUAAACACAUCAAGAUUUAGAUCCUCUUCAAAAGUUUCAAGUGUCAUCUGCAUUAAAGCUCUCCAUUGGACCCUCUCACAAAAAUAAAAGCUGAAAGGGACCCAACUCCAUUAAUAUACUUUAAAAAAUAUCCCUUCCUCUGACUUCAGUUUCCUUGACCAUUAGGGUCUUUCAUAUUGCUUAUGUUCCUUUAGACAAGAGCUAACAAAAUGGUGC
RNAcentral lists this long non-coding RNA (544 nucleotides) under Marmota monax (woodchuck). Lineage: Eukaryota; Metazoa; Chordata; Mammalia; Rodentia; Sciuridae. The record is from RNAcentral.